RNAcentral lists this transfer RNA (72 nucleotides) under Monodelphis domestica (gray short-tailed opossum). It matches the Rfam family "tRNA". From Rfam's summary of the family: Transfer RNA (tRNA) molecules are approximately 80 nucleotides in length. The record is from Rfam by way of RNAcentral. Lineage: Eukaryota; Metazoa; Chordata; Mammalia; Didelphimorphia; Didelphidae.
ACUCUUUGGCACUAUAGGCAGGGCAUCAGUCUUGAAAGCUGAAGAUCCUGAGUUUGAUUCUCAGAAAGAGGG